This 490-nucleotide ribosomal RNA is filed under the name uncultured bacterium. Its description in RNAcentral is "partial 16S ribosomal RNA". It matches the Rfam family "Bacterial small subunit ribosomal RNA", at positions 30 to 507 of the family's 1533-position model. The record is from RNAcentral.
AUUGAACGCUGGCGGCAGGCCUAACACAUGCAAGUCGAACGGUAACAGGAAGAAGCUUGCUUCUUUGCUGACGAGUGGCGGACGGGUGAGUAAUGUCUGGGAAACUGCCUGAUGGAGGGGGAUAACUACUGGAAACGGUAGCUAAUACCGCAUAACGUCGCAAGACCAAAAAGGGGGACCUUCGGGCCUCUUGCCAUCGGAUGUGCCCAGAUGGGAUUAGCUAGUAGGUGGGGUAACGGCUCACCUAGGCGACGAUCCCUAGCUGGUCUGAGAGGAUGACCAGCCACACUGGAACUGAGACACGGUCCAGACUCCUACGGGAGGCAGCAGUGGGGAAUAUUGCACAAUGGGCGCAAGCCUGAUGCAGCCAUGCCGCGUGUAUGAAGAAGGCCUUCGGGUUGUAAAAUACUUUCAGCGGGGAGGAAGGGAGUAAAGUUAAUACCUUUGCUCAUUGACGUUACCCGCAGAAGAAGCACCGGCUAACUCCGUG